CCUACGGGAGGCAGCAGUGAGGAAUAUUGGUCAAUGGACGAGAGUCUGAACCAGCCAAGUAGCGUGAAGGAUGACUGCCCUAUGGGUUGUAAACUUCUUUUAUAUGGGAAUAAAAUGUUCCACGUGUGGGAUUUUGUAUGUACCAUAUGACUAAGGAUCGGCUAACUCCGUGCCAGCAGCCGCGGUAAUACGGAGGAGCCGAGCGUUAUCCGGAUUGAUUGGGUUUAAAGGGAGCGUAGGUGGAUUGUUAAGUGAGUUGUGAAAGUUUGCGGCUCAACCGUAAAAUUGCAGUUGAAACUGGCAGUCUUGAGUACAGUAGAGGUGGGCGGAAUUCGUGGUGUAGCGGUGAAAUGCUUAGAUAUCACGAAGAACUCCGAUUGCGAAGGCAGCUCACUGGACUGCAACUGACACUGAGGCUCGAAAGUGUGGGUAUCAAACAGGAUUAGAUACCCGAGUAGUC
Molecule: ribosomal RNA, 460 nt
Filed under: uncultured bacterium
Lineage: Bacteria
Description: partial 16S ribosomal RNA
Rfam family: Bacterial small subunit ribosomal RNA
Source: RNAcentral